GCCCAAACCCUAGCCCACCCAAAAUUAAACCAACACCAACCCUCCAAUCAAACAAAACCAAAACAUUUCUCAUAAACCUAGUAUAGGCGAUAGAAAAGUUUCAUUUAGGCGCAAUAGAAAAACGUACCGUAAGGGAAAGAUGAAAUAACAAUGAAAACUAAGCACCAAACAGCAAAGACCAACCCUUGUACCUUUUGCAUCAUGACUCAGCAAGAACUAAUCAAACAAAACGACUUGAAGCUUGCCACCCCGAAACCCAAGCGAGCUACUCACAAGCAGCCUUAUAGGGCAAAUCCGUCUCUGUUGCAAAAGAGUGGAAUGACUUGUCAGUAGAGGUGAAAAGCCAACCGAGCUGGGUGAUAGCUGGUUGCCUGCGAAACGAAUCUAAGUUCCCCCUUGACCCAUCACCUACGGACAUAAAAUAACCCAUAUGAAAUUAAGUCAAGAGUCAUCUAAAGGAGGUACAGCUCCCUUAGACCAAAACACAUCUUCUGAAAGCGGAUAAGUCUCCCUUUACACCCAACACAUUGUAGGCCCUCAAGCAGCCACCAACAAAGAGUGCGUCAAAGCUCAUAAACAUAAAAAUACACCCCCCCAUACAAUUCCCUCUCACCUAGCAGGCUAAUCUACCCUCAAUAGAAGUACACAUGCUGAGAUGAGUAACUAAGGAAAUCCCUCUAACCGCGCCAACUUACAUCCGCACAUUAUUAACAAGCCCGUACACACACACAAGACAAACGUACAAUUCACCCCCUGUUAACCCAACCAAUGGAGCGCCUCUCAAGAGAGACAAAACCCCGCAAAAGGAACUAGGCAAACCCACAGGCCCGACUGUUUACCAAAAACAUAGCCUCUAGCUAAUCAAGUAUUAUAGGUGAUGCCUGCCCAGUGACACCCACGUUCAACGGCCGCGGUAUCCUAACCGUGCAAAGGUAGCGCAAUCAAUUGCCCCAUAAAUUGGGACUUGUAUGAAUGGCUAAACGAGGUCUCAACUGUCUCUUGCGGGCAGUCAGUGAAAUUGAUCCCCCUGUGCAAAAGCAGGAAUAAUCCCAUUAGACAAGAAGACCCUGUGGAACUUCAAAAUCAGCAGCCACCUCCUUCACACCCUACUACCCCCUACACAGGCAUACAACUAAAAGAACAACUGGCAUGCAUUUUUCGGUUGGGGCAACCUUGGAGAACAACCCAUCCUCCAAAAACUAGGCCACCUCUACCUAACCAAGAACAACCCAUCAACGUACUAAUAGCAACCAGACCCAAUAAAAUUGACCAAUGAACCAAGCUACCCCAGGGAUAACAGCGCAAUCUCCCCCAAGAGCCCCCAUCGACGGGGAGGUUUACGACCUCGAUGUUGGAUCAGGACAUCCUAGUGGUGCAGCCGCUACUAAGGGUUCGUUUGUUCAACGAUUAAUAGUCCUACGUGAUCUGAGUUCAGACCGGAGCAAUCCAGGUCGGUUUCUAUCUAUGACUAGCUUUUUCCAGUACGAAAGGACCAAAAAAGCAAGACCUCUACCCCAAGCAAGUCUUCACCCCAAGUAAUGAACCAAACUAAAUUACCAAAUCCAACCCCCCCUACACCCAAGAAUAGGGCCA
RNAcentral lists this ribosomal RNA (1593 nucleotides) under Calyptomena viridis (green broadbill). RNAcentral's name for it is "16S ribosomal RNA". It matches the Rfam family "Bacterial large subunit ribosomal RNA". Lineage: Eukaryota; Metazoa; Chordata; Aves; Passeriformes; Eurylaimidae. The record is from RNAcentral.